Molecule: ribosomal RNA, 103 nt
Filed under: uncultured bacterium
Lineage: Bacteria
Description: partial 16S ribosomal RNA
Rfam family: Bacterial small subunit ribosomal RNA
Source: RNAcentral
CGUUCCCAGGCCUUGUACACACCGCCCGUCACAUCAUGAAAGCCGCUUGUACCCGAAGUCGCCCCGUCAAAAGGUGCCGAAGGUAUGGGUGGUGAUUGGGAUG